Molecule: ribosomal RNA, 400 nt
Filed under: phytoplankton environmental sample
Lineage: Eukaryota
Description: partial small subunit ribosomal RNA
Rfam family: Eukaryotic small subunit ribosomal RNA
Source: RNAcentral
AGCUCCAAUAGCGUAUACUAAAGUUGUUGCAGUUAAAAAGCUCGUAGUUGAAUUUCUGGUCCCGGACGGCGGUCUACCACAAUUGUGGUACGCACCAACUGUCCGAGUCCAUCCUCGGGGAAAACAUGCCUGUGAUUCAGUUCAUGGGUAUGGGCUCCUCGUCAUUUACUGUGAGCAAAAUAGAGUGUUCAAAGCAGGCUUAUGCCGUUGAAUACAUUAGCAUGGAAUAAUAAGAUAGGACCUUGGUCUAUUUUGUUGGUUUGUACUCCAAGGUAAUGAUUAAUAGGGAUAGUUGGGGGUAUUCGUAUUCAAUUGUCAGAGGUGAAAUUCUUGGAUUUAUGGAAGACGAACUACUGCGAAAGCAUUUACCAAGGAUGUUUUCAUUAAUCAAGAACGAAAG